RNAcentral lists this ribosomal RNA (465 nucleotides) under uncultured bacterium. Its description in RNAcentral is "partial 16S ribosomal RNA". It matches the Rfam family "Bacterial small subunit ribosomal RNA", at positions 28 to 507 of the family's 1533-position model. The record is from RNAcentral.
GACGAACGCUGGCGGCGUGCUUAACACAUGCAAGUCGAACGGAAAGGCCCCUUUGUUGGUACUCUAGUGUCGGACGGGGGAGUAACACGUGCGUAACCUUCCCUUGACUUUGGGAUAACGUUAACUAACUGGAGCCAAUACUGGUAAGGAAUCCUUUCUUCAUGGGGGUGGUUCGAAAGUUUCGGAGGGUUUGGAUGUACUGGCUGCAUAGCUGCUUGCUGGUGGGGUUGUGUAUUACCAAGGCGGUGUCGGGUAGCGGGCCUGAGGGGGCGACCGGCGACACUGGGACUGAGAUACGGCACAGACUGCGACGGGAGGCAGAAGUGGGGAAUAUUGAACGAUGGGCGCAGGCCUGAUGAAGAAGGGCCGCGGGUGGGAUGACGGCGUUCGGGUUGUAAAACGCUUUCAGAAGGGGCGAAGCUUGUCGUGACGGUACCUGAAGAAGAAGCACCGGCUAACUACGUG